UGCAGUUCAUUAGCAUCCAAUCCAAUCCUCAUCUCCCCCUUCACAGAGAAGAACAAUGGCCAUGCAGUGGCUCCUCAAGGUCUUCCAGCACAUCAUUUCUUGCGGAGAAGAAGACGCUCCAAUCCGGUACUAUACCAGAGAUGACAACAUAGUCUCGUUCCCGAGCUCGCCUCUCCUACAGAGCACGACAACUGUGGUGACGCCACCACCUGUGAUUCAUUCCUUCCAGGUGAGCCCGCCGCCGAAUAGGCCACCAUCCAUAGUUCCCUGGUCCACCGCUUUAGCCAACAAACCAAUCAAUACUCUUCCGUCAAAGCCUUCUCCAUCUGUUGGUCAGAGCACGAGGCCACCGCCCAUAGCUCAGUUGUCUCCUGCGUUGGCAACUACUAAUAUCCUGUCAAAGGCUUCUCCAUCGCCCGGUCUGAGUAAAAGGCCUCCACCACCAAUAGGUCACUCAUCUAGUACCACCACCCAUAGCUCACUCCUGCAGAGCACGACACCGACGACGGUGACGCCACCAAUUGUGAUUCAUUCCUCUCCGGUGAGCCCGUCGCUGUCUAGGCUACCAUCCAUACUUCCAUCCACCACUUUAAACAACAAAUCAAGCAAUACUGUUUCAUCAAAGCCUUCUUCGUCGGUUGGUCAGAGCACGAGGCCGCCGCCUAUAGCUCAG
This 673-nucleotide unclassified non-coding RNA is filed under the name Hevea brasiliensis (rubber tree). The record is from RNAcentral. Lineage: Eukaryota; Viridiplantae; Streptophyta; Magnoliopsida; Malpighiales; Euphorbiaceae.